Molecule: long non-coding RNA, 878 nt
Organism: Perca flavescens (yellow perch)
Lineage: Eukaryota; Metazoa; Chordata; Actinopteri; Perciformes; Percidae
Exons: 3
Source: RefSeq, a predicted model, not a curated record
CCACGAUUCACAACAAGACUUUAACUGCAUCCCGUUAUCUACAUACCACACAUAGAGCCGUUUCCGUUCUCUCCCGGUGUGGUUGUAGUAGUAGGAAAUCAAAGCCUUUACACUCUGUAUCUUUGGCUGACAGACCGACAGUAGUUAACCUAACGUUACCGGUGUUACUAGCAUUUGAGUCCAGUGGAGGGAGGUAGAGGAGGUGGGAGUGAGAGCAGGGAAGGAGGGGGGAGCAACCAGGGCUGACGAUGGAGUAGGACUCGGAUAAAAGACACAGAAAAGGGAUUCAAAAAGGGGUCCUCUAGUGGUCUCUCCUGCCGCUCUCGAUCAUAGCGGCCACCAGCCUCGACGCUGCUCCUGGUCCUGCAUUCCUCUGUCCCCGGGCCCAGUGGAACAGCAUGUCCAGCACCAAGGCUCCCAGGUUGUCCCUGGAUGCGUCACCAGAGGGUUUUUUUUAGCAUGAGGAGCACGGGGAGGGGAUGAGCAUCAGUCUGUGUGUAAUCUCCUGCAGUGUCCCAGAUGGCUUAGUGAUGGCUGACAGUGCAGAUUAAAACAAUCAAAAUCCUCUAUCAUUUCUCUCCCACUGCAGUUUUCCUUCACUCACGUUACAUCUCUCCAAUUCCCUCUUGUUCCCUUAGAGGCUUUGGUUGUACUAACACGCAUUUGUGCACGCACUGGUUACGUCAUUCACUCAUGUAGAGAUGCUUUAAAACAGAAAAUGUACAUUUUGGUCAGGUUGAUAUGGAAUUUUGAUUAUUUUCUCAUUAUAAAUGAGCUCUGCUUUCAUAUGAAUGUGUAACUUACCUCUUUUUUUUUUACCUGGUAAUAGGUUAUAAGAUACAGUUCAAAUUAGGGCUGGGCAAUAUAUCAAUAUUAUA